This 492-nucleotide ribosomal RNA is filed under the name uncultured bacterium. RNAcentral describes it as "partial 16S ribosomal RNA". It matches the Rfam family "Bacterial small subunit ribosomal RNA", at positions 29 to 507 of the family's 1533-position model. The record is from RNAcentral.
AGUGAACGCUGGCGGUAGGUCUAACACAUGCAAGUCGAACGGCAGCACAGUAAGAGCUUGCUCUUACGGGUGGCGAGUGGCGGACGGGUGAGGAAUACAUCGGAAUCUACUUUUUCGUGGGGGAUAACGUAGGGAAACUUACGCUAAUACCGCAUACGACCUACGGGUGAAAGCAGGGGAUCUUCGGACCUUGCGCGAUUGAAUGAGCCGAUGUCGGAUUAGCUAGUUGGCGGGGUAAAGGCCCACCAAGGCGACGAUCCGCAGCUGGUCUGAGAGGAUGAUCAGCCACACUGGAACUGAGACACGGUCCAGACUCCUACGGGAGGCAGCAGUGGGGAAUAUUGGACAAUGGGCGCAAGCCUGAUCCAGCCAUACCGCGUGGGUGAAGAAGGCCUUCGGGUUGUAAAGCCCUUUUGUUGGGAAAGAAAGGCAGCAGGUUAAUACCCCGCUGUUCUGACGGUACCCAAAGAAUAAGCACCGGCUAACUUCGUG